This 1369-nucleotide long non-coding RNA is filed under the name Homo sapiens (human). RNAcentral's name for it is "non-protein coding lnc-DLK1-35:114". The stretch from base 218 to 339 matches the Rfam family "Maternally expressed 8 exon 2". Lineage: Eukaryota; Metazoa; Chordata; Mammalia; Primates; Hominidae. The record is from RNAcentral.
CUUGGAGGGGUGAGGGGCCCUGUUAGUCUGACUUUGAAGAAGACCAGCCUUCCAGACUCGCUUGGUGCCCUGACAGCAGCUUGUGUUUCUUCCUUCAAGAGUCUGCUUAGAGAUAAUAAAGAUCAACACUAUUCCUUAUAACAACACCUCAGUAUCCUGCGAGCUGUACACACCAGAGUUUAUUUAACCACCUUGCUGCUGGCAUGAAAGCCUCAGGAGCCCUGGGCUCCCCCAGUGUUGCCUGGGUCUGACUUUGCCUCAGUGAAAACUGCCUCGAAUUCUUUCUUGCACCGAUGGGCAGAUGGGCAGUGUCGGAGGAUCGUGUCAUCUGUCCCGUGGCGCUGGUUGGCUUGGUCAAGUCAGUGUUCAAACUAUCUCCUGCUCUUUCAAGGGGAUCUGGGGCUCUAGAAGAUUAGAGGACUUGGAGAGGUUAGUGACUUGCUCGAGGUCGGCUAGGAAGCAAGACCCAGGAUUCCAACUCAGGUCUGUGUGAUUCCUCUGCAAAAUGGAGAGGUGGAAGGAUGGAUGUCAGGUCUGAUGGAUGGAUGGAUGCCUACAUCAAGAUACAUGCAUAGAUGGAGAGAUGGCUGGCUACCUCAUGAAUGCUGGACUGUUGUGAGAAUCAAACGAGAUAAUGUAUGCUGAGGCAUGCUGUGAACACUACGUGCUGGGUACAGGAGAAUGGAGGCUCCAGAGUGAAAUUAAUGACACUUUGUCGAUGAAGAUCUUGAUUGUGACCUCUGUGGAAAAUGAGCCAUGAACCAACCAAUGAUAAGUCUACUUUUCUUCCACGUAACAACCACAGGAUAGAUGACAUUCAUUUUCUAAGAAACAAAAUCUUGGCAGUUAGAUCCGUGGGGUAAAGAAUAUAGAUACUAAUAAUGAAAACCAUGUAGCUGGUCUUAUUAUUCUCUAAUCAUGAAGACCAUUAUUGUUAUUUGUGGACUAAGGAGCAGAAAGACUGAUAGUGGACAUAGGCCAGCUGAUUUAAUAAUUUAAGAAAGAACUGUUAUCCUGAGUAAGGAGCAUAGAGACAAAUAUAAAAUGAACGCACUCUACCUGAUUUAAUUAUAGUCUUCUGGUGAAGAUCUUGCUGUUAUCUCUGUGAAUCAGGAGAGAAGAGAUUGAUAAGGAAUAGACGAGAUUGGAUUUGGUCAUUUCCCCAAGGUGAAGAGCAUGGCGAUUUCUUCUGUGGUAAGGAGCAAUAAUGAAGACCAUGGUUGAUUUAAUCAGUCUCUGCUGAUGAAGAUCUUGGCUGUUACCUUUGUGUGUAAGGAAGCUAAAGACUUAAGUAAAUAACAGUCCAAAAACUUGUCAAUUAGGAAUGAAUGCGCAAUGAUUCAAUUAUUCUCCAGCGAGGAAGAUCAUG